RNAcentral lists this ribosomal RNA (253 nucleotides) under uncultured bacterium. RNAcentral's name for it is "partial 16S ribosomal RNA". It matches the Rfam family "Bacterial small subunit ribosomal RNA", at positions 524 to 776 of the family's 1533-position model. The record is from RNAcentral.
GACAGAGGCCUCGAGCGUUAGGCGGAAUCACUGGGCUUAAAGCGUGUGUAGGCGGAAUUGUAAGUACCUUGUGAAAUCCCACGGCUCAACCGUGGAACUGCUCGGUAUACUGCUUUUCUUGAGCCACUUAGGGGCUGUCGGAACAAACGGUGGAGCGGUGAAAUGCGUAGAUAUCGUUUGGAACGCCAAAGGUGAAAACAGGCGACUGGUUUGCAACUGACGCUCAUGGACGAAAGCGUGGGGAUCAAACGGG